UACGUAGGGGGCAAGCGUUGUCCGGAUUUAUUGGGCGUAAAGAGCUCGUAGGCGGUUUGUCGCGUCUGCCGUGAAAGUCCGGGGCUCAACUCCGGAUCUGCGGUGGGUACGGGCAGACUAGAGUGAUGUAGGGGAGACGUGGAAUUCCUGGUGUAGCGGUGAAAUGCGUAGAUAUCGUAAGGAAGACCAGUGGCGAAGGCGGGUCUCUGGACAGUUCCUGACGCUGAGGCACGAAGGUCAGGGGAGGCGAA
This 251-nucleotide ribosomal RNA is filed under the name uncultured bacterium. RNAcentral describes it as "partial 16S ribosomal RNA". It matches the Rfam family "Bacterial small subunit ribosomal RNA", at positions 524 to 772 of the family's 1533-position model. The record is from RNAcentral.